RNAcentral lists this ribosomal RNA (498 nucleotides) under uncultured bacterium. RNAcentral's name for it is "partial 16S ribosomal RNA". It matches the Rfam family "Bacterial small subunit ribosomal RNA", at positions 29 to 523 of the family's 1533-position model. The record is from RNAcentral.
AUUGAACGCUGGCGGCAUGCCUUACACAUGCAAGUCGAACGGUAACAGGUCUUCGGAUGCUGACGAGUGGCGAACGGGUGAGUAAUACAUCGGAACGUGCCCGAUCGUGGGGGAUAACGGAGCGAAAGCUUUGCUAAUACCGCAUAAGAUCUACGGAUGAAAGCAGGGGACCGCAAGGCCUUGCGCGAACGGAGCGGCCGAUGGCAGAUUAGGUAGUGGGUGGGAUAAAAGCUUACCAAGCCGACGAUCUGUAGCUGGUCUGAGAGGACGACCAGCCACACUGGGACGGAGAAACGGCCCAGACUCCUACGGGAGGCAGAAGUGGGGAAUGUUGGACAAUGGGCGCAAGCCUGAUCCAGCCAUGCCGCGUGCAGGAUGAAGGCCUUCGGGUUGUAAAGUGCUUUUGUACGGAACGAAAAGACUCUUUCUAAUAAAGAGAGUCCAUGACGGUACCGGAAGAAUAAGCACCGGCUAACUACGUGCCAGCCGCCGCCGUAA